Molecule: unclassified non-coding RNA, 207 nt
Filed under: fungal sp.
Lineage: Eukaryota; Fungi
Description: partial internal transcribed spacer region
Rfam family: Eukaryotic small subunit ribosomal RNA (bases 1-46)
Source: RNAcentral
AAGUCGUAACAAGGUUUCCGUAGGUGAACCUGCGGAAGGAUCAUCAACAAAUCUAAUACUGCCUUCGGGCAAUAUACCAAUGUGAAUUGCUGGCACCUUAGGGUGCUGGUUGAUGUAUGCUUGUGAAAGCAUCAUAUUAACGAGUAUAAAGAGUCUGUUUAAAAAUUAUAAUCUAUACAACUUUUAACAAUGGAUCUCUUGGCUCUU